RNAcentral lists this ribosomal RNA (253 nucleotides) under uncultured bacterium. RNAcentral's name for it is "partial 16S ribosomal RNA". It matches the Rfam family "Bacterial small subunit ribosomal RNA", at positions 524 to 776 of the family's 1533-position model. The record is from RNAcentral.
UACGUAGGUGGCAAGCGUUGUCCGGAUUUAUUGGGCGUAAAGCGAGCGCAGGCGGAAAGAUAAGUCAGAUGUGAAAGCCCUCGGCUCAACCGGGGAACUGCAUCUGAAACUAUGUUUCUUGAGUGCAGAAGAGGAGAGUGGAACUCCAUGUGUAGCGGUGAGAUGCGUAGAUAUAUGGAAGAACACCAGUGGCGAAGGCGGCUCUCUGGUCUGCAACUGACGCUGAGGCUCGAAAGCAUGGGUAGCGAACAGG